GCUAACACUGCUGGUCCUAGUCC
This 23-nucleotide non-coding RNA is filed under the name Mus musculus (house mouse). Lineage: Eukaryota; Metazoa; Chordata; Mammalia; Rodentia; Muridae. The record is from RNAcentral.